UGGGGAAGGAAAUUCAUUUAAAGAAGAAAAAAAUAAGAGGCCCCGGCAUUGGGGCAGUGCAGUACAGACCAAGAGGGUGGGAAGACCGUUAGGACGGAAGAAGAGGAGGCCAACAGAGCAAAUGUAUGGUGAGGACAUAAACCCAUCCUCCCUGGGAGCCGGAUGCUUUGACAGUCUACCCUUUCCUUCUGAUAGCACAACCCGUGCCCUGUGAGGGGCAGGCAGCAGUGGUCGGGCUCAUUCUUGUACUUGACUGCUGUCUGUUUAUCCAGAAGGCUGUGGGCUCCUUGAAGGUAAAGCUCCUGCGGUGAAUCUAGUGUCUGGACAGCAUCAUGCGCGCAGUGAGCAAGCAACCCUGAUGGCUUCGUGUGAGACAACAGAGCACAGAGGUUACUCAUGGUCAGGACGUGCUCACCCAAAGAAACUGCAGCUCACACCUCAGAGUUACAACAAAGGGAGUUGACGAUUCCCUGAAGAAGGAACAAGAUCCAGGGUCUCCCAGGGAUGGCGUAAUCGGCUGCUUAGGACACGCAGCGUAUGUACACGAGUACUCUCAUCCCAGAGCUGAGUGCUAUGGUUACAUCUGCCCCCGACAUUCUCUACAACAAGCGCGAUUUUAGAGACGUGGACAGCAAGACUCAAGAGGACAAAGAACAGUCUGCAUCGAUCCCCACUGUGCGCACAGCACAAUGCCUGCUCCUAUAGAUAGAAUCUUCACGCCUGAUUUUCCAGGAGCCUGUCUCAUGCCCAAGAGAUACAUCCAAGCCAGCCUCAGAACCUUUGCUUCCAAACCACCACCUCCAAAGCGCAGCCCGGAGGCCAAUGGACUCCUGUGGACUUCUGCAGCCUCUGGGCUUGAAUUCAGCUCACGGCAGUGUUUUCUUCCAAGUGGUGUUUUGCUUUGAUUUUUAAACUUGAAUUAGAUGCCAAUAUUAAAAAUCAGAAUAGUGAAUCUAAAAAUCCAGAACUCCAAGUUCUCUGGAAAGAUGGAUUGCUCUAGCAAUUUUGGCCUGCGUUUCUGUUGUAUGCCUCCUACCCUAUGCAACAAAA
This is a long non-coding RNA of Rhinolophus ferrumequinum (greater horseshoe bat), 1050 nucleotides long. RefSeq lists it as uncharacterized. The transcript is spliced from 4 exons. NCBI's taxonomy places the organism in Eukaryota, Metazoa, Chordata, Mammalia, Chiroptera, Rhinolophidae. The record is from RefSeq and is a predicted model, not a curated record.